Gasterosteus aculeatus aculeatus (three-spined stickleback) is the source of this 485-nucleotide long non-coding RNA. NCBI's taxonomy places the organism in Eukaryota, Metazoa, Chordata, Actinopteri, Perciformes, Gasterosteidae. The record is from Ensembl.
CAUGGCUACACCGCUAGCACAGGGCCAGCAUUCCACAACAGCAUUCCUGGACUCCUCUGAGCGGAGUAGAAAAGUGUCUGGCUGCAUCAGCGCAGCAGCAGGUGCUGAGUUGUAAUCUUCUACGUUGUAUUGUAAUGUGCAGUCUCGGAUUUCAAUAGUUGGGCCAAAGUUUUACGACGAGCGCCAAGUCGACGUGUCAAGUGCUACAACAGAGACGGUAGAACAGAUCCAUGAAAUCAGCGGCCGAUGCAGACAGGAGUUCAGAUUUGGCGUCACCUGGGUGGCCACACAGUUACAGGCUCUCCGUGCAACUCCCCAUCACUGGGUCCCGGAGCUCCAGGUAUGGAAAACACACGGGCAUCUAUCUCAGGUUUUUGGAGAGAGUGCAUUGGAGGCAUUAUUUUCCUUCUAAAAUACAAUAGUGCUUUGGCACCGCCACAUUCCUUUAAAAGUGCAUUUAUAUGUAACUCACUGCAUGAAUAAAC